RNAcentral lists this ribosomal RNA (776 nucleotides) under Huneckia crocina. RNAcentral's name for it is "Huneckia sp. UA-2020a partial large subunit ribosomal RNA". It matches the Rfam family "Eukaryotic large subunit ribosomal RNA", at positions 151 to 943 of the family's 3401-position model. Lineage: Eukaryota; Fungi; Ascomycota; Lecanoromycetes; Teloschistales; Teloschistaceae. The record is from RNAcentral.
GUAGAGGAUGCUUCGGGCGCGGCGCCGGGCUAAGUCCCUUGGAACGGGGCGUCAUAGAGGGUGAGAAUCCCGUAUGUGCCCGGCGACCCAGCCCAUGUGAAGCUCCUUCGACGAGUCGAGUUGUUUGGGAAUGCAGCUCAAAAUGGGUGGUAAAUUUCAUCUAAAGCUAAAUACUGGCCAGAGACCGAUAGCGCACAAGUAGAGUGAUCGAAAGAUGAAAAGCACUUUGGAAAGAGAGUCAAACAGUACGUGAAAUUGUUGAAAGGGAAGCGCUUGCAACCAGACCUGCCCGCGGGUGACCAGCCGCCCCUUCGGGGGCGGUGCAUGCGCCCGUGAACAGGCCAGCAUCGGUUCGGGCGGCCGGAUAAAGGCCCUGGGAACGUAGCUCCUCUCGGGGAGUGUUAUAGCCCUCGGCGCCAUGCGGCCCGCCCGGACCGAGGACCGCGCUUCGGCUAGGAUGCUGGCGUAAUGGUUGCAAGCGGCCCGUCUUGAAACACGGACCAAGGAGUCUAACAUCUAUGCGAGUGUUUGGGUGUCAAACCCAUGCGCGCAAUGAAAGUGAACGGAGGUGGGAACCCCUCGAGGGCGCACCAUCGACCGAUCCUGAUGUCUUCGGAUGGAUUUGAGUACGAGCAUAGCUGUUGGGACCCGAAAGAUGAUGAACUAUGCCUGAAUAGGGUGAAGCCAGAGGAAACUCUGGUGGAGGCUCGCAGCGGUUCUGACGUGCAAAUCGAUCGUCAAAUUUGGGUAUAGGGGCGAAAGACUAAUCGAAUCAU